AGUCAUAUGCUUGUCUCAAAGAUUAAGCCAUGCAUGUCUCAGUAUAAGCUUCUAUACGGCGAAACUGCGAAUGGCUCAUUAAAACAGUUAUAGUUUAUUUGGUGGUCAGCAAUUACAUGGAUAACCGUGGUAAUUCUAGAGCUAAUACAUGCGCCCAAACCCGACUUCGUGGAAGGGUUGUGUUUAUUAGAUACAGAACCAACCCAGGCUCCGCCUGGCCUUGAGGUGAUUCAUAAUAACCGAACGAAUCGCAUGGCUAUGCCGGCGAUAGACCAUUCAAGUUUCUGACCUAUCAGCUAUCGUCGGUAGGGUAUUGGCCUACCGUGGCAAUGACGGGUGACGGAGAAUUAGGGUUCGAUUCCGGAGAGGGAGCCUGAGAAACGGCUACCACAUCUAAGGAAGGCAGCAGGCUCGAAAAUUACCCAAUCCCGACUCGGGGAGGUAGUGACAAGAAAUAACGAUACGGGGUCUUAAUAGGUCUCGCAAUUGGAAUGAGUACAAUUUAAAUCCUUUAACGAGGAUCAAU
RNAcentral lists this ribosomal RNA (526 nucleotides) under uncultured eukaryote. RNAcentral describes it as "SSU rRNA". It matches the Rfam family "Eukaryotic small subunit ribosomal RNA", at positions 22 to 548 of the family's 1831-position model. The record is from RNAcentral.